CGGGAGUAGAACUAGAGACUAGAGACACGGUUCUGCGAGUAUUAAAGGGCUCCGUAUUAAAGUAUAUGAAAAAUGUCGUACAGAAGCUUCAAGUCCUGCUCCAAGCAAAACAAAUAGCUGCUAAACGAGAAAACAAACCACCAUUGUCUCCACGCAGGAUCGAACUACGGACAUUCAGUUUACAAAACUGACGCUCUACCACUGAGCUAUAGAGGCCGUUGUGAAUUGCAUGCCCCAUUGUUCUAACGAAUGAUGGAAUCUUGAAUCAGAAUAUAACACUGCUCUUCCAAUGAUACCAGAAAGAGAAACUAUUUUUGAAGUUCGGGGAUGUAGCUCACAUGGUAGAGCGCUCUCUUUGCAUGCGAGAGUUACGGGGUUCGGUACCCUGCAUCUCCAAUUUUUUUUGUAAGAUUCGUUUUCUGUUUACAAUAUCAGGCCAAUUGAGCUCCCUAAAUUUUUUUCAUCGCCGCACCAGUGGUCUAGUGGUAGAAUAGUACCCUGCCACGGUACAGAUCCGGUUUCGAUUCCCGGCUGGUGCAUUUGCAUUUUUUGUGGUUUCCAAAUAUACUGUACUCUUCCAAUCUAAUUAGAACAACAUUUAGUACUGGAUGAAACAACACUGUAACUAAGAUUAACUUGGUGGUACACGACCCUCUAACACUUGAUGGAAAACUUCAAACAUCAAAUAAUCUAGAGUUCGUUGAUUCACCACAUUUGCUUUAAUGUCCGGAUCAAAUCCGAAGAUGGACUACAACAGCACGGAUCUACAGGGGUUUCAUGUAUUCCAUGCAGGUGUUCCCAGGUCAGGGCUCCGUAUUAAAGUAUAUGAAAAAUGUCGUACAGAAGCUUCAAGUCCUGCUCCAAGCAAAACAAAUAGCUGCUAAACAAACCACCAUUGCCUCCACGCAGGAUCGAACUACGGACCUUCAGUUUACAAGACUGACGCUCUACCACUGAGCUAUAGAGGCCGUUGUGAAUUGCAUGCCCCAUUGUUCUAACGAAUGAUGGAAUCUUGAAUCAGAAUAUAACACUGCUCUUCCAAUGAUACCAGAAAGAGAAACUAUUUUUGAAGUUCGGGGAUGUAGCUCACAUGGUAGAGCGCUCUCUUUGCAUGCGAGAGUUACGGGGUUCGGUACCCUGCAUCUCCAAUUUUUUUUGUAAGAUUCGUUUUCUGUUUACAAUAUCAGGCCAAUUGAGCUCCCUAAAUUUUUCUCAUCGCCGCACCAGUGGUCUAGUGGUAGAAUAGUACCCUGCCACGGUACAGAUCCGGUUUCGAUUCACGGCUGGUGCAUUUGCAUUUUUUGUGGUUUCCAAAUAUACUGUACUCUUCCAAUCUAAUUAGAACAACAUUUAGUACUGGAUGAAACAACACUGUAACUAAGAUUAACUUGGUGGUACACGACCCUCUAACACUUGAUGGAAAACUUCAAACAUCAAAUAAUCUAGAGUUCGUUGAUUCACCACAUUUGCUUUAAUGUCCGGAUCAAAUCCGAAGAUGGACUACAACAGCACGGAUCUACAGGGGUUUCAUGUAUUCCAUGUAGGUGUUCCCAGGUCAGGGCUUUUUGUGAACUGCCGAAGGAAACUUAAAAAGGGUUUAACAGUGUAUCCGUUUCCUUAGUUUGCCAGAUCCGUGGUGGAACCCUCCAACAGCAUGCUCUCGACUCAUUCGCUGUUAGAUAAAGAGGCCAUUUGUGAAAUUGGGAACCCUAGUUACCCUAACCUUAACAGGCUUGUUUUCCAGAGAUGUUGUGACCAAGGGUUUGAAUGCCGACUGAAUGCCCUACUGGGUUCAAGUGGUACCAAUAAUGAGUCUCCAACCUUGGUUCCUGGUUUGCCAUCUUUGCAUUGAUUUCUAAUUUGACAAGUGUUGCUGUUUGUUGAUUCUGGAAUUCGAUUGGAUGCAAAUUAAAAAUACACAAUCGAAAUUCAGAAAUACCACACAGCAACACAAUGGAUUGUGGACACAGCAACAUUAUGGAUUGUGAAAAACUGAUAUCGCUAAUCAGUAUCUUUCAUAAGAAAUUAUGUUGAAAAUCCAAACAAUUAGAGCAACUGAAGGAGGUUGCAAGCCCAGCCUUCCUCAAAAGAUGUAGAGGCUCAGAUACAAAUAAAAAUACACAAUUGAAAUUCAGAAAUAACACAGCAAUAUUAUAGAUUAUAGAAAACUAAUAUCGCAGAUUCACAAAUGUUACUGAAGUGUUCUCUCCUAUUGAUUACAAAUUCUGUAUGGCCAGGUAUGUCAUUCCUUAGGUAACAUUGGAUGGUAUCUCCUAUCUGUUGUAAAGACUCUACUCAGGAUUUGCUACCAUGACCAUUUCGUGAUUAUCUAUUUCUUAUACAUUGAUUUUGGGAUUUGCAGGGUUGUUAAGCAGCAACAUUUAGGCAAAAUUGAAUUUGAUAUUCAAUCAGUUAUGAAGUUUCAAAGCUGGAUUUUACUGCUAAACUAUAUGCAGUUGUUGCCUCAGGGGACAUCAAGAUGCUCAUCCAGAUUGUCCAAUUGCUAUGUCUAAUGCUGUUUUUUCAGAUUUAUCGAUGAGCCCCUUUGAUAUCAUCAACAAUAUCUCAAAUGUAAGGCCUCUCAAAUGUCUAAACUUGCCUCUCAAAUGUCCAAACUUUCAAAGAAAUUGAGACCAAGAAGCAUGUUUGUGUCUGGGUCUGUAAUUUUAUUGAAUUUUUUAUAAACAAGUAAGAUAUUGAAAACUAAUUUCAUA
Molecule: long non-coding RNA, 2714 nt
Organism: Cryptomeria japonica (Japanese cedar)
Lineage: Eukaryota; Viridiplantae; Streptophyta; Pinopsida; Cupressales; Cupressaceae
Exons: 2
Source: RefSeq, a predicted model, not a curated record